RNAcentral lists this ribosomal RNA (491 nucleotides) under Pitar fulminatus. RNAcentral's name for it is "partial large subunit ribosomal RNA". It matches the Rfam family "Bacterial large subunit ribosomal RNA", at positions 1819 to 2597 of the family's 2925-position model. Lineage: Eukaryota; Metazoa; Mollusca; Bivalvia; Venerida; Veneridae. The record is from RNAcentral.
GCCUCUUGAAUAAAAGGUAAGAGAGGUCGGACCUGCUCAGUGGCUGGCCGAUAUUAGGCUAGUUUAACAGUUAAUUAAAUGUACUAAGGUAGCGCGGUGGAUUGCCCUUUAAUUGUGGGAUGGUAUGAAUGGUUUGACGCGGAAAAACUGUCUUUUAUGAAGUAGAUGAAAUUUCUUUUUAAGUGAAAAAGCUUAAGUUUUUGCAAAAGACGAGAAGACCCUGUCGAACUUAAUUAAAAGGUUUAACUUAUUUAAUGGUGGUUAAAUUUUUGAAGUUUUGUUGGGGAAACAGGGGAUUAAGUUGAACGUCCCCUUAUUAAAAUGAAGACCCCUUAUGAAGGUCAUAAGCAAAAGUUACCGCAGGGAUAACAGCGUAAUUCUUUUUCGAGAGAUCUUAUUAAGGAAAAGGUGUGCGACCUCGAUGUUGAAUUAGGGUUACUUCACGGUUGUAGCCGCUGGGAAAAGUAAGACUGUUCGUCUUUUAAAGCCCU